This 57-nucleotide transfer RNA is filed under the name Ovis aries (sheep). It matches the Rfam family "tRNA", at positions 8 to 63 of the family's 71-position model. From Rfam's summary of the family: Transfer RNA (tRNA) molecules are approximately 80 nucleotides in length. Their secondary structure includes four short double-helical elements and three loops (D, anti-codon, and T loops). Further hydrogen bonds mediate the characteristic L-shaped molecular structure. tRNAs have two regions of fundamental functional importance: the anti-codon, which is responsible for specific mRNA codon recognition, and the 3' end, to which the tRNAs corresponding amino acid is attached (by aminoacyl-tRNA synthetases). tRNAs cope with the degeneracy of the genetic code in two manners: having more than one tRNA (with a specific anti-codon) for a particular amino acid; and 'wobble' base-pairing, i.e. permitting non-standard base-pairing at the 3rd anti-codon position. The record is from Rfam by way of RNAcentral. Lineage: Eukaryota; Metazoa; Chordata; Mammalia; Artiodactyla; Bovidae.
UGGCUCAGAGGUUAAAGCAUCUGCCUCCAAAGCAGGAGACCUGGGUUUGAUUCCUGG